RNAcentral lists this ribosomal RNA (677 nucleotides) under Mannheimia haemolytica. RNAcentral's name for it is "bacterial LSU rRNA". It matches the Rfam family "Bacterial large subunit ribosomal RNA", at positions 112 to 833 of the family's 2925-position model. The record is from RNAcentral. Lineage: Bacteria; Pseudomonadati; Pseudomonadota; Gammaproteobacteria; Pasteurellales; Pasteurellaceae.
GUCCGAAUGGGGAAACCCAGUAGGUGAAGAACCUACUAUCACCCAGUGAAUACAUAGCUGUGUGAGGCAAACCGGAGAACUGAAACAUCUAAGUACCCCGAGGAAAGAAAUCAACCGAGAUUUCGUUAGUAGCGGCGAGCGAACGCGAAAGAGCCAGUUAGUGAUAGCAGUGAAGUUAGGGGAAUGUUCUGGGAAGGACAAUCGUAGAGGGUGAUAAUCCCGUACCUUAAAACUUCAUUGUGGUACUAGGCUAACAACAAGUAGGGCGGGACACGUGAUAUCCUGUUUGAAGAUGGGGGGACCAUCCUCCAAGGCUAAAUACUCCUGAUUGACCGAUAGUGAACCAGUACUGUGAAGGAAAGGCGAAAAGAACCCCGGCGAGGGGAGUGAAAUAGAACCUGAAACCUUGUGCGUACAAGCAGUGGGAGCAGAUUUAUUCUGUGACUGCGUACCUUUUGUAUAAUGGGUCAGCGACUUAUAUUUUGUAGCAAGGUUAACUGAAUAAGGGAGCCGAAGGGAAACCGAGUCUUAACUGGGCGUGUAGUUGCAAGGUAUAGACCCGAAACCCGGUGAUCUAGCCAUGGGCAGGUUGAAGGUUGGGUAACACUAACUGGAGGACCGAACCGACUAAUGUUGAAAAAUUAGCGGAUGACUUGUGGCUGGGGUGAAAGGCCAAU